UAUACAUACUAUUUUUUUUCUUUUAUAAAACUAAAUUUUAUAUUUAAACAAAAUUACCAAUCCAACUUUCUCCAUCGCAUCGAAGAAAGAAUGUCAAGAAGUCGAUUGUUAUGGUUCUCCUUCGGAUUCACAUCGGCAUACGCCUUAUUUUCCCUAUCCCUUUCCAAGGACUUAAAGGUUCAGCGUUUUGUGCUUUCCUCGUGCUUGGAACACGUUGGCGCUCUCGAAAAUAGAAUCUCCCAAAUCGAAUCCUCUUCUUCAAAACCUUCUUCUACUCCCUCCUCUCCUUCGGCUUCUGAUGAGGUUGAAGGUUAGAUAAUUUUCCGGUGAAAUGAGUUCUUCUUCUUGGUUCUAUGGGAUCUAUACUUUAAUAUUGGUAGAAGAAAUUGACAUAAUAAAACAGACGCCGAGGCAACUUGAUUUUUUUGUUCACGCUUUUUAUUUUUUCUGGGAAAUUAACCAAUAGUGUUGAAAAAAUGUGAAGACUUUUGAAUUUUUAACUGUCUUGUUAUUCUUGGUAAAUUUUGAUGAAAUUUGAUACGUUCAAGAAAAUUAUGUAAACCAAUAUCCUCUAGUCGGUUCUGGAAAUAGCAUGUGGUGAACUUGUGA
This is a long non-coding RNA of Vigna unguiculata (cowpea), 609 nucleotides long. The record is from RefSeq and is a predicted model, not a curated record. Lineage: Eukaryota; Viridiplantae; Streptophyta; Magnoliopsida; Fabales; Fabaceae.